UCUCCUUGAUUAAAACUAAUACUUCCCUGUAAUGUACAGAGGUAGAAGAAAGGCUCCGGUCCUCUCAGCAUCAUGCCUUCGGUGCUUGUGGCCUCCCGUUCAUGGGUUUUUUUCUGUUCAUUGUCAAAAAA
This is a small nucleolar RNA of Apodemus sylvaticus (European woodmouse), 131 nucleotides long. RefSeq annotates it as small nucleolar RNA SNORA57. The record is from RefSeq and is a predicted model, not a curated record. The transcript has a single exon. NCBI's taxonomy places the organism in Eukaryota, Metazoa, Chordata, Mammalia, Rodentia, Muridae.